Molecule: ribosomal RNA, 466 nt
Filed under: uncultured bacterium
Lineage: Bacteria
Description: partial 16S ribosomal RNA
Rfam family: Bacterial small subunit ribosomal RNA
Source: RNAcentral
GAUGAACGCUGGCGGCGUGCUUAACACAUGCAAGUCGAACGAUGAAGCUCAGCUUGCUGGGUGGAUUAGUGGCGAACGGGUGAGUAACACGUGAGUAACCUGCCCUUAACUCUGGGAUAAGCCUGGGAAACUAGGUCUAAUACCGGAGAGGAGCGCCUACCGCAUGGGGGGUGUUGGAAAGAUUUAGCGGUUUUGGAUGGACUCGCGGCCUAUCAGCUUGUUGGUGAGGUAAUGGCUCACCAAGGCGACGACGGGUAGCCGGCCUGAGAGGGUGACCGGCCACACUGGGACUGAGACACGGCCCAGACUCCUACGGGAGGCAGCAGUGGGGAAUAUUGCACAAUGGGCGAAAGCCUGAUGCAGCGACGCCGCGUGAGGGAUGACGGCCUUCGGGUUGUAAACCUCUUUCAGUAGGGAAGAAGCGAAAGUGACGGUACCUGCAGAAGAAGCACCGGCUAACUACGUG